GAAUUGACGGGGGCCCGCACAAGCGGAGGAACAUGUGGUUUAAUUCGAUGAUACGCGAGGAACCUUACCCGGGCUUGAAAUGCAUUCGACGGGGUUGGAAACAGCCUUUCCCUUCGGGGCGGAUGCGUAGGUGCUGCAUGGUUGUCGUCAGCUCGUGCCGUGAGGUGUCGGCUUAAGUGCCAUAACGAGCGCAACCCCUGUCGUCAGUUACCAUCGGUAUAAGCCGGGGACUCUGACGAGACUGCCAUCGUAAGAUGCGAGGAAGGUGGGGAUGACGUCAAAUCAGCACGGCCCUUAUGUCCGGGGCGACACACGUGUUACAAUGGGCGGUGCAGCGGGGCGCUACCCGGCGACGGGGAGCCGAUCCCGAAAUCCGCUCACAGUUCGGAUCGGAGUCUGCAACUCGACUCCGUGAAGUCGGAUUCGCUAGUAAUCGCGGGUCAGCAUACCGCGGUGAAUACGUUCCCGGGCCUUGUACACACCG
This 484-nucleotide ribosomal RNA is filed under the name uncultured Proteiniphilum sp. Its description in RNAcentral is "bacterial SSU rRNA". It matches the Rfam family "Bacterial small subunit ribosomal RNA", at positions 907 to 1392 of the family's 1533-position model. Lineage: Bacteria; Pseudomonadati; Bacteroidota; Bacteroidia; Bacteroidales; Dysgonomonadaceae. The record is from RNAcentral.